RNAcentral lists this ribosomal RNA (231 nucleotides) under uncultured bacterium. RNAcentral describes it as "partial 16S ribosomal RNA". It matches the Rfam family "Bacterial small subunit ribosomal RNA", at positions 94 to 334 of the family's 1533-position model. The record is from RNAcentral.
AGUGGCGGACGGGUGAGGAACACGUGGGUGACCUACCCUGGGGUGAGGAAUACCGGCGAGAAAUCGCCGACAAUACCGCAUAGGUUUCGUAAGAAACAAAGUCUCGCAAGAGAUGCCACAGGAUGGGCCCGCGGCCGAUUAGCUCGUUGGUGGGGUAAUGGCCUACCAAGGCGUCGAUCGGUAGCUGGCCUGAGAGGACGAUCAGCCACACUGGGAUUGAGAACGGCCCAG